RNAcentral lists this ribosomal RNA (488 nucleotides) under uncultured beta proteobacterium. RNAcentral's name for it is "bacterial SSU rRNA". The record is from RNAcentral. Lineage: Bacteria; Pseudomonadati; Pseudomonadota; Betaproteobacteria.
GAGUUUGAUCAUGGCUCAGAUUGAACGCUGGCGGCAUGCCUUACACAUGCAAGUCGAACGGCAGCAUGAUCUAGCUUGCUAGAUUGAUGGCGAGUGGCGAACGGGUGAGUAAUACAUCGGAACGUGCCCUGUAGUGGGGGAUAACUAGUCGAAAGAUUAGCUAAUACCGCAUACGACCUGAGGGUGAAAGUGGGGGACCGCAAGGCCUCAUGCUAUAGGAGCGGCCGAUGUCUGAUUAGCUAGUUGGUGGGGUAAAGGCCCACCAAGGCGACGAUCAGUAGCUGGUYUGAGAGGACGAUCAGCCACACUGGGACUGAGACACGGCCCAGACUCCUACGGGAGGCAGCAGUGGGGAAUUUUGGACAAUGGGCGAAAGCCUGAUCCAGCAAUGCCGCGUGUGUGAAGAAGGCCUUCGGGUUGUAAAGCACUUUUGUCCGGAAAGAAAUGGCUYUGGUUAAUACCUGGGGUCGAUGACGUACCGAAAGGGU